RNAcentral lists this ribosomal RNA (468 nucleotides) under uncultured bacterium. Its description in RNAcentral is "partial 16S ribosomal RNA". It matches the Rfam family "Bacterial small subunit ribosomal RNA", at positions 28 to 507 of the family's 1533-position model. The record is from RNAcentral.
GACGAACGCUGGCGGCGUGCUUAACACAUGCAAGUCGAACGGAAAGGCCCUGCUUUUGUGGGGUGCUCAAGUGGCGAACGGGUGAGUAACACGUGAGUAACCUGCCCUUGACUUUGGGAUAACUUCAGGAAACUGGGGCUAAUACCGGAUAGGAGCUCCUGCUGCAUGGUGGGGGUUGGAAAGUUUCGGCGGUUGGGGAUGGACUCGCGGCUUAUCAGCUUGUUGGUGGGGUAGUGGCUUACCAAGGCUUUGACGGGUAGCCGGCCUGAGAGGGUGACCAGCCACAUUGGGACUGAGAUACGGCCCAGACUCCUACGGGAGGCAGCAGUGGGGAAUAUUGCACAAUGGGCGGAAGCCUGAUGCAGCAACGCCGCGUGCGGGAUGACGGCCUUCGGGUUGUAAACCGCUUUCGCCUGUGACGAAGCGUGAGUGACGGUAAUGGGUAAAGAAGCACCGGCUAACUACGUG